GUACGAUUAUACCUUGCUCCUGGUGGUCC
Molecule: small RNA, 29 nt
Filed under: Bombyx mori (domestic silkworm)
Lineage: Eukaryota; Metazoa; Arthropoda; Insecta; Lepidoptera; Bombycidae
Description: ovarian small RNA-17634
Source: RNAcentral